Molecule: long non-coding RNA, 471 nt
Organism: Artibeus jamaicensis (Jamaican fruit-eating bat)
Lineage: Eukaryota; Metazoa; Chordata; Mammalia; Chiroptera; Phyllostomidae
Exons: 3
Source: RefSeq, a predicted model, not a curated record
GAUGGGCUGAGCAGGGCUCAGGGAAAAGGAGGCGGCCCGCACGUGCGUGAGGGUAGGGGGCUUCCAAGGGGCGGGUCUGGCUGCCUGCACGUGGGCUCGCGGUCGCGCGCUGACGCCGAGCCCGGCCUCCGCGCGCCGGGGGCCCCAGCACGUGGCGCCUUCCUGCGCGCGUGCGUCUUCUGCGAGGCCCGGGUGCAAAGUGCCGAUCGGAGCGCGCGGGCGCUGCCCCCCGCCGGUGUAUCCUCAGAAAGAGAGGAAGGGGGAGAGAAAUACAUCAAUCAGUUGCCUCCUAUAAGCACCCCGACCAGGAAUUGGACCCACAACCCAGCACUCACUGAGGACUACGGAGAGCAGUGCAGAAGCCCCCGGAGCACAGCAGACACUCAGAGUGCAUGGCAGUCAGAACAGAGCCCUUUCCUGGAUAUUAAUUUUUAUCAGCACUGGCAAAUGAGUUCUUCAGGAAGUUCUAAC